GGGUUUAAUCAAAAACUCUCUCAUUUUCUCAAACAAAUCUCUCUAAAAAUCUCUCUCUCAAGUAAAACUCUCACUGAUGUCUCUAUUUCUAUUAUCCUUGUUCUCACUCGCAAUAAUUUGUACUCACUAACCUGGAUUUACCUUUUGUUUUGUUUUAGAUGCGUUGAUUUUUACAUGAACUCUCUCGCAAGACUUGUUUGGAGAUUUGCUUUGAACCUAGCACCACUUCUUGUGGACCCAGUUUCCGUAAGAAAUGCUUAAGAUCUGCCCCUAAUAAAUGCGGGAAGAAAUGUCCAAAAUGCAAACAGCUAAUAAG
This is a long non-coding RNA of Mercurialis annua (annual mercury), 316 nucleotides long. RefSeq lists it as uncharacterized. Lineage: Eukaryota; Viridiplantae; Streptophyta; Magnoliopsida; Malpighiales; Euphorbiaceae. The transcript is spliced from 3 exons. The record is from RefSeq and is a predicted model, not a curated record.